ACGUAGGGAGCAAGCGUUAUCCGGAUUUACUGGGUGUAAAGGGCGCGUAGGCGGGAAUGCAAGUCAGAUGUGAAAUCUGAGGGCUCAACCCUCAAACUGCAUUUGAAACUGUAUUUCUUGAGUGAUGGAGAGGCAAGUGGAAUUCCUAGUGUGGCGGUGAAUGGGUUAAAUUUUGGAGGAACCCCAGGGGCGAAGGCGACUUGCUGGACAUUAACUGACGCUGAGGCGCGAAAGCGUGGGGAGCAAACAG
RNAcentral lists this ribosomal RNA (250 nucleotides) under uncultured prokaryote. Its description in RNAcentral is "partial 16S rRNA". It matches the Rfam family "Bacterial small subunit ribosomal RNA", at positions 525 to 775 of the family's 1533-position model. The record is from RNAcentral.